This 1343-nucleotide ribosomal RNA is filed under the name uncultured bacterium. RNAcentral's name for it is "16S ribosomal RNA". It matches the Rfam family "Bacterial small subunit ribosomal RNA", at positions 28 to 1378 of the family's 1533-position model. The record is from RNAcentral.
GACGAACGCUGGCGGCGUGCUUAACACAUGCAAGUCGAACGGAAAGGCCCUGCUUUUGUGGGGUGCUCGAGUGGCGAACGGGUGAGUAACACGUGAGUAACCUGCCCUUGACUUUGGGAUAAAUUCAGGAAACUGGGGCUAAUACCGGAUAGGAGCUCCUGCUGCAUGGUGGGGGUUGGAAAGUUUCGGCGGUUGGGGAUGGACUCGCGGCUUAUCAGCUUGUUGGUGGGGUAGUGGCUUACCAAGGCUUUGACGGGUAGCCGGCCUGAGAGGGUGACCGGCCACAUUGGGACUGAGAUACGGCCCAGACUCCUACGGGAGGCAGCAGUGGGGAAUAUUGCACAAUGGGCGGAAGCCUGAUGCAGCAACGCCGCGUGCGGGAUGACGGCCUUCGGGUUGUAAACCGCUUUCGCCUGUGACGAAGCGUGAGUGACGGUAAUGGGUAAAGAAGCACCGGCUAACUACGUGCCGGCAGCCGCGGUGAUACGUAGGGUGCGAGCGUUGUCCGGAUUUAUUGGGCGUAAAGGGCUCGUAGGUGGUUGAUCGCGUCGGAAGUGUAAUCUUGGGGCUUAACCCUGAGCGUGCUUUCGAUACGGGUUGACUUGAGGAAGGUAGGGGAGAAUGGAAUUCCUGGUGGAGCGGUGGAAUGCGCAGAUAUCAGGAGGAACACCAGUGGCGAAGGCGGUUCUCUGGGCCUUUCCUGACGCUGAGGAGCGAAAGCGUGGGGAGCGAACAGGCUUAGAUACCCUGGUAGUCCACGCUGUAAACGGUGGGUACUAGGUGUGGGGUCCAUUCCACGGGUUCCGUGCCGUAGCUAACGCUUUAAGUACCCCGCCUGGGGAGUACGGCCGCAAGGCUAAAACUCAAAGGAAUUGACGGGGCCCCGCACAAGCGGCGGAGCAUGCGGAUUAAUUCGAUGCAACGCGUAGAACCUUACCUGGGUUUGACAUGGAUCGGGAGUGCUCAGAGAUGGGUGUGCCUCUUUUGGGGUCGGUUCACAGGUGGUGCAUGGCUGUCGUCAGCUCGUGUCGUGAGAUGUUGGGUUAAGUCCCGCAACGAGCGCAACCCUUGUUCACUGUUGCCAGCACGUUAUGGUGGGGACUCAGUGGAGACCGCCGGGGUCAACUCGGAGGAAGGUGGGGAUGACGUCAAGUCAUCAUGCCCCUUACGUCCAGGGCUUCACGCAUGCUACAAUGGCUGGUACAGAGAGUGGCGAGCCUGUGAGGGUGAGCGAAUCUCGGAAAGCCGGUCUCAGUUCGGAUUGGGGUCUGCAACUCGACCUCAUGAAGUCGGAGACGCUAGUAAUCGCAGAUCAGCAACGCUGCGGUGAAUACGUUCCCGGG